GCACAUUUUAUAGGCUAAUGUUGCUAGAAGAAAUCGAAUUUCUUUCCGUUCAAAUGAUGGAAUGAUGAUUGAUGGCGUUAAAGAUUACUCUCACCUGGUUGCUGAAAUGAUAUGAUUGUCGUAAGUUUUAACUUACUAUGAAUGCUUUUAGUUUUCGUCAACUGCAACUCUAUUAUGUAUUUUGAGCCGAAUAUUUUUAAAUAACAGCAUCAACAUAAUUAAAUUUAUUUUACUCUUGAAACGACAAAUAUGUUUCCUCUUCCUUUUUGAUGAAAGUUAAAUCACAAUAGAUUUGUCUUUUAUAUGAAGAUUUUCUUCUUCUGAAUUGCUGUUGCGCACUGUACUUGAUAUUGGUUGCGGGUCUGGUAGUUUUAGUGCUCGUCUUCUAUCGCUUAAGCUGAUGUGUGACAGCAUAUGAGCCAACAGGUAGACAUGUUCAAUUGGCACUUGAUAGAGGUCUCCCUUCAAUCAAAACUUAAUCUAAAGACAGGUCCCUCUUCAUCCUUUGUCAUAUGAAGUGGUUCACUGCACUCAAUGUAGCAUUGUCUGGGAUAACAAAGGUAUGAUCCUCAUUAAGGUUUGGGGUUUUGUUUUUUUCCAUUAAAUCACCAUUUCUUCAUCAGAUUAAGUGCAGUGGUUUUUAUUGAUUUUUCACCGAUGAAAAUACUUGAAAUUAAUUUGACAUUUAGCCUAAUGUAUUGCGAACUUUUCUGAUCCAAACAAGAAGGAAAAGAAAGCGAAUGAUCCAAACAAGCCAAAGAGACCUCCAAGUGCUUUCUUUGUUUUCAUGUAUGCCCAUUUGCAUUUUUGGUCUCUAUCAUUUCUGUCUAUUGUUCUUAUAUAUUACCUUUUUUAUGCCGCUUGGCAGACUACAACAAUAAUUUGGUAAUCCAUCUAUGAGAAGCACGGUGUUAUACACAGUUUAGUUUGAAUUGUGAUACUGAAACGACUUGUGCCGAACUGUUUUUAUAGGCUAGAGGGGCUGUUGAAUUCGACAAGGCAAAGUCUGAGGUUAAUGGUGAUGAGGACGAUGAGAACAGUGGAGACGUUAGUUGAAAUUAAGCUAUACAACUUUUUUGUACUUGAAACUUUGCUACUAUGUUGACUUUUUAUUUUGUUUUAAUUAAUUUAGGGGGAAGACGAUGAGUAAGCACUAUUACAGAAAACUGGAUUUUGGAUUCAAGGUGAGAACCAACAAUCAAUCUUCCUUCAUUAUUUGCAUUUAUGGCUUCAGGUUUUGUAAAAUGUUCGAUUUGAAAGUGAGUUAAUUGGAUUGGUAGAUUUCAUGAAGAAUUAUUGUGUAAAAUUUGGCUUCAGGUGAAUUUUACUGAAAUUAAUUGAAAGUAAUUAUCAAUAAUACUCCUUUUUUAAUUUUUAUUUUUUAAAGUUGCUAAUGUGUUUGUUCUUCCUUUCAGUGAGGGAACAAGCAUCUCUUUGCCAUUAACUUGGGGCAAAAAAAGAGAGGAAACGUAUGCCUUGUUUUUCAUUAUUGCCUAUUGGUACACAAGACGUAUUUAGAGGAAAGGGGUGGAGGAAGAGGGGGUUGAGUGCUUGUAGACCAUGAGCAAAAAUGGCAGACUACAAUAAGAAUUUGGUAAUUUCAUCUAUGAAAUUCUCUAUUACAAUGCACUACGUGCAUCUCACAUGCGAAGAACUAGUUCGAUAAAUAUUCAAUAUUUUGCAGCAAGCUUCAUAUCUUGUUAAAUUUUGAAGGUCCUUCCUUUUGUGAAAUCAUUUAAGUUAAAAAUGUUAAGAGAGAAAAACAUUAAUUUAUUAAUAUCUUCAAAACUCUUCUUAUGGUGCAGGUAGAUUUAAUUUUUCUAUAAACAUUAAAUUUCUGACUUUGAUGGGGAUGAUGUUAUUAUUUUACAGAUUUUCAUCUGGUCGUCCAUUACCAAUACAAUUUCGAGACUCGAUUUGAUUAGAGACUAAUAGCUCAGUCAUCUACCAGGUCAAGAAAGUUAUUAAUUGGGUUAGUUGCUGUAAGCUUGUGGGCUGACCACCUAUAUGCCUGCUUUGCAUAUAUUUCGUUGCCAGCUCCAAUCCACAUCAUUUGAUGACGUGUUGUUUACAACAAAUUUGACUUGUACACAAUAUCUGUUAUUACGAGAGUUAGAGAGAGAGGCCAAUUCAAACCAUCAUUUGGUGACACAUUUUUUAAGAGCAAUCGUGGAACCUAUAUUUGUUAAGUGAAGUCAAUGUUAUGCUGAAGCAAACAAAAGAUUAUGACGAUUGAGGAUAGUCAAGUUCACAUUUCACUUCUUAUCUUUCCAUUCUCUCUCUUUUAGAGUAAAGAUCAUUUGUAGUAUUUCGUGGCUACCAAAUAUUCAAAUACUCCAGGGAACAUUGUAGAUGUAAAAUUCUGCAUUAUAUAAUAGGAGGAAUUUCUUUUUUUUUUUUUUUUUUCCUAAAUGGAUUAUCAGGUAAGUUGUCAUUAUUUGCAAUAGUAAUAGGCUUUUUAUUAUGAUGUGCAGUUGCACAUGUCCAUGUGUGUCCACGUAUACUUGUGUGUGUAAAUGUGGAAUAAUGAUAUUUACAAUCUAUUCUUACCUAUUAGCAAUUAGCAUUCUAUGUAGAUGUAUUGUUACUGCCACAUUUUCCUAUAAUUUUAGAGUAGGGAUAUUUGUAAGCAUCGUACUGAAAACAACAAUCUAUAUGACAAUGAGAUAUCUGUCUCAUUCUCCUAUGAAAUUGAGUUCGUUUUAAUUUAUUGAAGAAUGUGAUAGUGACCCCAUUAUUACAUCAAAUGUUGGU
This 2754-nucleotide long non-coding RNA is filed under the name Olea europaea subsp. europaea. The record is from RNAcentral. Lineage: Eukaryota; Viridiplantae; Streptophyta; Magnoliopsida; Lamiales; Oleaceae.